Molecule: ribosomal RNA, 253 nt
Filed under: uncultured bacterium
Lineage: Bacteria
Description: partial 16S ribosomal RNA
Rfam family: Bacterial small subunit ribosomal RNA
Source: RNAcentral
UACGAAGGGGGCUAGCGUUGCUCGGAAUGACUGGGCGUAAAGCGUGCGCAGGCGGUUUUGUAAGCCAGAUGUGAAAUCCCCGGGCUUAACCUGGGAAUGGCAUUUGGGACUGCAAGGCUCGAGUGCGGCAGAGGAGACUGGAAUUCCUGGUGUAGCAGUGAAAUGCGUAGAUAUCAGGAGGAACACCGAUGGCGAAGGCAGGUCUCUGGGCUGACACUGACGCUCAUGCACGAAAGCGUGGGGAGCAAACAGG